This 655-nucleotide long non-coding RNA is filed under the name Salvia miltiorrhiza (redroot sage). Its description in RNAcentral is "long non-coding RNA (SMIL_LNC009102)". The record is from RNAcentral. Lineage: Eukaryota; Viridiplantae; Streptophyta; Magnoliopsida; Lamiales; Lamiaceae.
CGAGAAGGGGCAUUAAUCCGGGAAAUUGCCGGGUUGAUGUUGCAGGAAAAUAUCCAAGGGUUUGGUUUACUCCAGGAGCCAAUCCAAACGAUGUUAAAGAAUGGUAUGAAUUUGGGGCAUUAGCUUCAGUUUAUACUACUUCUCCGGCCUUCACCGAAAUCAAGGGUCUACCCAAAUGGAUCCAGAAAACGGUGUUCGACGCAUGGGAGAACAACGAGUCCCUAAAAAGGGGAGACGUUCUGGAAUUGUACUUCUUCAGUGCAGCUCCAGAGCCAGUAGGUAAAGGAGUCUACGAAGCCUUCCAUUUCAUCAAGCUUCGGAGACCAGACACAGGAGCCUUGAACCGGAUCAAAGUUCCUGAGUUUAAUGCCGCCAUCGUCUCAACAUUCACGGAGGAACAAAUCUCUACGAGACGAGCGUGGGGUCUUUGGGUCUGUCUCACAGAGAUGGACAAAAUGAAGUCCAGAUUCAAGUUCUUUCAGAGCUCAGAUCUGGGAACAUUCCUGGUCAACACAAUGACAGGAACAACAACUCAGUUUGCCGAAAAUUCUUUCGAGAAUAAGAGGCAAACCAUUUGGGGAAACAAGAUCGCGGGGAGCAAAGAGACUCGUCGCAAAUUCUGCAAUAUGGCUCAUGUGAGCCAUUGGAUCGAGAG